UUUAUAAUAAAAUAUAAUUUAAUUGGUUUAAAAAUGCUUUUAUUUAUUAUUAAUUAUAAUUUGUAUUUUUAAGUGAAAUUUUAAUAGAAUAAAUAAUUAAUAAUUUUAAGUUAAUUAAUAAAUUAAUCAAUAAACUAGGAUUAGAUACCCUAUUAUUAUAACUAAUUUUAAAAACCAUAUUAGUAAUAGAUUUAUUUUCGAAAGUAAAAUAAUUUGGCGGUAUUUUAAUCUUUUUAGAGGAAUCUGUUCUGUAAUUGAUAUUACACGAUUAAAUUUACUUUUUAUUUAAAUUUUUAUAUCGUUGUUAAAAACAUAUUUAAAAAUUAUGUUUAGGAUUUUUUAAAAGAAAUUAUUUCAGAUCAAGAUAGAGUUUAUUUAAAAGUAGAAAUGGAUUACAUUGUUUAAUAAAUUAGGAUUAAGUAUUUUAAAAUUUAAAUAAUUUGGAUUUAAAUGUAAUUAAAUUAUAAUUUUUUUAAUGAUUAUAGUUCUAAAAU
Molecule: ribosomal RNA, 494 nt
Filed under: Oediopalpa guerinii
Lineage: Eukaryota; Metazoa; Arthropoda; Insecta; Coleoptera; Chrysomelidae
Description: partial 12S small subunit ribosomal RNA
Source: RNAcentral